RNAcentral lists this transfer RNA (72 nucleotides) under Aggregatibacter aphrophilus. RNAcentral describes it as "tRNA-Ile(aat)". Lineage: Bacteria; Pseudomonadati; Pseudomonadota; Gammaproteobacteria; Pasteurellales; Pasteurellaceae. The record is from RNAcentral.
GAGCUUGUUGUCUAAUUGGUAAGACAGCGUUUAAUAAACGCUCUGUGCGACUUCGAUAUUCGCCAAGCUCAC